Long non-coding RNA from Astyanax mexicanus (Mexican tetra), 633 nucleotides. RefSeq lists it as uncharacterized. NCBI's taxonomy places the organism in Eukaryota, Metazoa, Chordata, Actinopteri, Characiformes, Acestrorhamphidae. The transcript has 2 exons. The record is from RefSeq and is a predicted model, not a curated record.
UCUCCCCUUUUUUGAAAGACAGAAACCGACAGUCUGGUCCGGAGAAAUCCUUUGCUGCCUUUCCACGACACAGGAGCACUAAUGAAAGAAAUGGAAAAAAACAAACAUUUAAUCCAAAAAAGUGUUUCUACUCAAGCCAAGACUGGACUCAAGUCAAAAAAAGAACUUCUUCAAAGAGAAGCAAAGAAGAGACAGUGAUCUGCAAUGAUCUGGGGAUGCUUCAGCAAGGCUGGAAUUGGGCAGUUUGGUCUUUGCGAAUGACGCAUGAAUCAAGCUGCAUACAAGGUUAUCCUGGAAGAAAACUUCCUUCUAUCUACUCUACCAAUGUUCCCAACUCUGGGGAAUGUUUUUCUUUUUCUAUCAGGACAAUGCUCAAUUCCACACAGCUAGAUCAAUUAGGGUGUGGAUGAAGAACCACCAGAUCAUGGUGUCAUGGCCAGCACAAUCUCCAGCCCUGAACCCCAUUGAAAACCUAUGGAAUGUAAUCAAGAGGUAGAUGGUCACAAGCCAUCAAGCUGAACUGCUUGAAUUUUUUGCCAGGAGUCUCAUAAGUGGCAAAGCAGUUUGAAAGACUGAAAGACUCUUUCUUAGUUACUUUUGUAUUGUUGUUUCUAAAUAAAUAUAUUAACUUUU